AUUUCCUCUUGCUGGUGUUUUUCGUCAUCACCUCCCGACCUAGAAAUUUCAAUUCAAAAACCCAAUCUCUGUUUCUCAGAGAGACUAGAUGCUGAUCGAACGCUGCGUUUCGUCGGCGAUCGUCGAAAUCCGUAUCGGAAUGCAAUCAAAUAGCACGCUCUGAUAAUUAUUUUGGAGAGAACAAAAUCAUGUGGUUUUCGUUAAGGAGAUGAUCCAGGGACCGAUUCUCCUUCAAUGAGCUCAGGGAACUUGUGUUGAAGGAAUCAAAGAGGAAGUUGUGUAGUCUCCUGCUUAUGCUCUUUCCUUGAUAGCAACCUAGAAGGUCGCUUUCCAAAGUUUAGGAAAUGGUUCGGUCAGGAUUGACAAGUGGUCAGGGAUCAGUUUCCGAAAAAUCUGUAAUCAUCAGUUGUUUUGGUGGACACACGUUACUUUUCCAGUAUUUGAACAAUAUGGAUGUGUAGUUCUUGGAUAGUUUAUAUCAAGGACACUGGGUUUUAUGGAAAUACUAAUGGCCUUUUGAAUUCAGACUGUUGUAUUAUGUUACCUCUUGGAUAUCCAUCGAUCAGUAGCCUUUCUAUUCAAAACUGCAUGCUAAUGAAACCUUGUGAACAAUGGAUUUUAUGUGUUUCCAUUGAUACUAAUGCUUUUUUGCUUUUGA
This is a long non-coding RNA of Rosa rugosa (rugosa rose), 658 nucleotides long. RefSeq lists it as uncharacterized. The transcript has 3 exons. Lineage: Eukaryota; Viridiplantae; Streptophyta; Magnoliopsida; Rosales; Rosaceae. The record is from RefSeq and is a predicted model, not a curated record.